Molecule: ribosomal RNA, 253 nt
Filed under: uncultured bacterium
Lineage: Bacteria
Description: partial 16S ribosomal RNA
Rfam family: Bacterial small subunit ribosomal RNA
Source: RNAcentral
UACAUGGGGUGCAAACGUUGCUCGGAAUCAUUGGGCGUAAAGCGCGCGUAGGCGGUUACUUAUGUCGGAUGUGAAAGCCCUCGGCUUAACUGAGGAAGUGCAUUCGAAACUGGGUAGCUAGAGUACUAAAGAGGGUCGCGGAAUUCCCGGUGUAGAGGUGAAAUUCGUAGAUAUCGGGAGGAACACCGGUGGCGAAGGCGGCGUACUGGGUCUUAUCUGACGCUGAGGCACGAAAGCGUGGGGAUCGAACAGG